AGUGAACGCUGGCGGUAGGCCUAACACAUGCAAGUCGAACGGCAGCACAGUAAGAGCUUGCUCUUACGGGUGGCGAGUGGCGGACGGGUGAGGAAUACAUCGGAAUCUACUUUUUCGGGGGGGAUAACGUAGGGAAACUUACGCUAAUACCGCAUACGACCUACGGGUGAAAGCAGGGGAUCUUCGGACCUUGCGCGAUUGAAUGAGCCGAUGUCGGAUUAGCUAGUUGGCGGGGUAAAGGCCCACCAAGUCGACGAUCCGUAGCUGGUCUGAGAGGAUGAUCAGCCACACUGGAACUGAGACACGGUCCAGACUCCUACGGGAGGCAGCAGUCGGGAAUAUUGGACAAUGGGCGCAAGCCUGAUCCAGCCAUACCGCGUGGGUGACGAAGGCCUUCGGGUUGUAAAGCCCUUUUGUUGGGAAAGAAAAGCAGCAGGUUAAUACCCCGCUGUUCUGACGGUACCCAAAGAAUAAGCACCGGCUAACUUCGUG
RNAcentral lists this ribosomal RNA (492 nucleotides) under uncultured bacterium. RNAcentral's name for it is "partial 16S ribosomal RNA". It matches the Rfam family "Bacterial small subunit ribosomal RNA", at positions 29 to 507 of the family's 1533-position model. The record is from RNAcentral.